UGGAGCAGUUGGCAGCUCGUCGGGCUCAUAACCCGAAGGUCGUAGGUUCAAGUCCUGCCUCCGCAACCA
Molecule: transfer RNA, 69 nt
Filed under: Clostridioides difficile
Lineage: Bacteria; Bacillati; Bacillota; Clostridia; Peptostreptococcales; Peptostreptococcaceae
Description: tRNA-Met
Rfam family: tRNA
About the family: Transfer RNA (tRNA) molecules are approximately 80 nucleotides in length. Their secondary structure includes four short double-helical elements and three loops (D, anti-codon, and T loops).
Source: RNAcentral